UACGUAGGGGGCGAGCGUUGUCCGGAGUUACUGGGCGUAAAGGGCAUGCAGGCGGUGCGCUGCGUUUGCCAUGACAGCUCCUCGCUUCACGAGGAGAGAGUGGCAAAAACGAGCGCACUUGAGGGACACAGAGGGACACAGAAUUCCGGGUGGAGUGGUGAAAUGCGUAGAGAUCCGGAGGAAUACCAAAGGCGAAGGCAGUGUCCUGGGUGUUACCUGACGCUGAGGUGCGAAAGCCAGGGGAGCGAACGGG
RNAcentral lists this ribosomal RNA (253 nucleotides) under uncultured prokaryote. RNAcentral describes it as "partial 16S ribosomal RNA". It matches the Rfam family "Bacterial small subunit ribosomal RNA", at positions 524 to 776 of the family's 1533-position model. The record is from RNAcentral. RNAcentral also lists the same sequence under 1 other name.